CUCAAGGCCCAAGGAAUUUUGCAUUUCAUGAGUAAUCAUUGUUGUCCAAAAAGAUAUUGAAAUUAUAAUAAAAUGCUUCCAAAGUAGAAUGUCAUAGGCUCAAAAAACAAAAUUAUAAUACAAUAAUAAGAUUUCAAACUUGAGGCCGACAUUAGUAAUAGAUUUUGGUCCAACAUAGCUAGUUGGAAUGCAAACAAAAUAUUAAAA
Molecule: long non-coding RNA, 207 nt
Filed under: Physcomitrium patens
Lineage: Eukaryota; Viridiplantae; Streptophyta; Bryopsida; Funariales; Funariaceae
Description: long non-coding RNA (PPAT_LNC004732)
Source: RNAcentral